AAAGUGCAGUAGGUCUGGAGUGUUUCUUGUGCCGUCAACCAGUAUGUUGGUUCACCAGUUGUAAUUGUAUCUAAUGAAAGUUUUCGUAUUGUAUAUUCUAAAAUUUUUCCUCGUGGUAAAUUUAUUUUGGAGCCCCAUAGGUUAUGCUUAGCAUUAUAAUCGCCGUCAGCGAUAAAUUUGUUCCCCAAUGAAUUAAAAAAACUUUCAUAUUGUUACACAGAUAUUUUUUUAUUUGAAGGACUGUAGAUAGCUGAUAUUGUAAUAUUUCCUUGAGCAGUGUUUAUAUUUACGGUGAUAGCUUGUACGUGUAUAUCGGCGAUCAGGCAUUGACCAAAGUAUUUAAUAUCCUGUUUAAUGAUUAUCAUCGCUGAUCCGCCGCGUGCACUGCCGGGGAACACUUGUACCCUUUUGUUAGGGUGGGAGCCGUGCAAUAAACCAGCGAUUUAAUAACCCACGGAGAACUUAGACCGUCAAAAGGUUCGAGCGCGGAACUGCAGCUGCCGGCGUGUUGGUUUAAAAAUUGCAGUUCCAGCCAGGCUGACACGUGGGGGCCUUUUUUACGACUGAUUUGAUGUUGUGGCAGCCGCGGCGCGCGCUGUGACGGACAGAACCGUUCGCCGUUACGGACGGUUUAAAAGCAGCAGUAAAAGGACCUUCGGUGUGCCCGUGCGCUGCAUCGCGGUCGCCGCGCAUAGGACAAGCGGAUACGAUAUGGAUCUGCGGUUCAGGGUGAGCCGUGUUGUAUCGUCCGCAGGUUACACGCGUGUACUCUACCUACUCGGUGUUCACCUAACAAGUCAUGGGCAGUAUCUCUCAUGUAACCGAACUUACAACUGGAAGAAGUUAAAUCGAUACCUGCUGUGAUCUCAGUAAAACAACUUGUAAAAGUUUUCUCGGCUCAUCCUGUAUAAUAUUCCCAC
Molecule: non-coding RNA, 920 nt
Organism: Nomia melanderi (Alkali bee)
Lineage: Eukaryota; Metazoa; Arthropoda; Insecta; Hymenoptera; Halictidae
Source: RefSeq, a predicted model, not a curated record